AGGGGUUGAAUUUCACAUUUUUCCCCCUUAAAUUUGAACUAUUCUCGGCAGCGCCACUGCCGGAACGAGUCCAAGCUCAAGUGUUAAAUAUAGUCGGUGAUAUGUGAUAGUUCAUUCCUCAAGUUUGAACUAGUUCCGGCAUUGGAUUAUUUCUAAGGAUUCCCUGAAGUCUUCGUAUUAAAUUACAGUCCCUAAAAGUUUGGCAGAACGGAAGUCCCCUUUUAUAUACGUCCUCCCCUGCUCUUAAGAGAGAGGGGCUGAGGGAGGGAGCUCGACGAGUAAAGAGUUUCCGUUUCCUUUUCCGAUUCCUAGGGUAUUCCACCGACUCCAAUCGCGGUUCCCAUGGCGGAGGUGAUGGACAUUACCGCUGAAACCCUACGUCGCCGCCGGGACCGGAGAGGAGGGAUAGCUCAGCCGGAACCCUCCACCGCCAAAAAUAAGGGAUCGUGGCUCAAGGGAGUGGCGGAUGACCACUACGACUCGAGGAACCGUCCGCCGCCGACGCCGCCUCUCGGAUCAUCGAGGAUCGAGUGCCUCCGGCGGAGCCCACCCCGUUACGGCAACCGUGACCGUCGGCGCUCCCCCUCGCCGGUUACCACCGCCGGGGACGAUCAAGCGGUCAAGAAGGGAUGAUGGUGGGUAUGAUAGGCGCCGCGGUAGUCCGGUGAGGGGUUUACGGUCAGAAGAUCGAAGGAAUGACUAUGACGAAACUAGUUUAAAAAAGACUGCACGGUCUGCGGGUGCGUCGUUCAUGAGAAGGAAAGGGCAUGCUAGGACUGCUGCAAAGAAAUUUUUUCUUAGAGGUGGAACUUCGGACCUGCAAGAUGUUUAUCACAGCCUAUGCUUGUACGUGCACAUUUAAUGUCUAGCCUUGUUGGGGAAAAAAUGGACCACCCCACAAAUACAAUCAGAGCACGCGAAUCCGACGACAGGCAUGACCCCGAUAAGCAUGAUCUCGGCAUGCACAACUUCGGCAGGCAUGACCUCAGAAGGCCGAGCUCAGAAAACCAACUUCAUAAGGCCGAGCUUAUAAGGCCGAGCGCGAAACGCCCACAUAAAGAAGGGAGCAUCAAAUCCUCCAUAUUCGGAAUCAAAUCCCGCAGUCUUCGCCACCACAGCUGUCAAAAUUUGAAUAACUACUAUCUCAACCGAUUGCCUGCUAAUUUGAACGCCUGUGCCAUCUAAGGUAACCUAUUUAAUCCGAGAUAUGCGCAAUCGCAAUCAAGGGUGAGUAACCGCCACACCCCCUCCUAUAAAGAGGGGGGAACGCUGGCGAGGCAGGGCGCUUCCUCCAAAAAGAGGGACUUUCUCCAUUACCUCCCCGGCCAUUACUUUUCUCCAUUACCUCUCUCCAUUACUUCUCUCUAUUAAAUUUUUUUUCUAACUUAAGCAUCGGAGGGCCGGCGCCGGAACCCUCGGCCACAGGCUUCUUGCAGGUCCGCCGAAGACAGCCGUCCGCCGCCGCACCACCAGCCGGAGCUCCUCCUCCUCAGUCCACGGUCAUUCCCGGGUCCAAUUUCCAGCAACAGUUGGCGCUAGAGAAAGGGCCCGAGUCGUGAUCAUGAGACUAAGGAGCAGAGGAGUCUCUUAUACCUUCCGGCAUCAUGCACCAAGUUCUGGACGCUCAGUCCAGAAUCCACCACCAAGACCUCCGGCAGAUCAAGUUCUACAAGUCCAACCCGAGCAGUUCGACGCGCUGGUGCAACAAAGUCCAAACGCUAGCCACUGCAGUCCAAAGUCUGCAACAAGUGGAGGCCCCUCCUGUGCCUCCUCCACGGGUUUACGUUAAGCGGAGGAAGAAACUUUCUCCCGAGCCAUCUCGAAUCAGGCACGGCUCCCGCUGCAACGACGUGGGACGUGGGGGGAACCAGUGAGAAGUAGUAGCCCGAGUCUCAUAUCAACAAGUUGGAGGGGAAGAGAAAUAAAAAAUGAGAUCUGAAGGGAAAAGAGUAGGAAAGUUAUGAAGUUUUAAAAUGGGAUUGUAAGCCUCUGUGGCAAAGGGUACAGUGUCUGUAACAGAGGACCCACCAGAUUCUUCCCAUUAAAUCCCAUUGCCGUUCAAACUCUUCUCUUUUGUUCUGCGAUCAGGACGAAGGCUACGUGUCCCCACUUCCCUCGUUCGGAUCAUCAAGGCCUGCAGCAAGUAAGAGACCAGCAUGUACUCCCUCCUCAUGGGUGUAAGUCCUCAGGACGGCGCUCAGUCGCCAGGCCAGGAAGGCCCUUUUUGGUAGCAGGACUAGAUCCCGCAUCGAAGGAACGAAACCAUGCGGGGGCAUGGUACCUACACGGACCCUCCCAGAGUGGACAAUACCUCACGAUGCAAGGCCGACCUUCGUUUUUCGUGACCUUAACGGCUGGUGCUUUCACUAAGAGCCGAGCUCAGAAGGCCAAGCUCGAAAACCGAGCUUAGAAGCAUGAGCGCAGAACGCCUCCCCCAGAAGGUCGAGCUCAGAAGGCUGGUGCCGAGCUAAGUCCUGAGGGACUUCGAAGCUCGGAAGCCAUCAAAAUAUCUCCAAAAGGUACAGGACGCCACUUUGGCUUUAAAUAAUUUCAAUAUUUUACCUAUUUUCAGGUCGGAGAAUGCAAAAGAAGACUUACGAGUAUCUCUAUCUCCAACGUUGCCCCGCUCUGAGUGGGGGCGCACGAUCGCCAACGGAUGAGGCCCGUCUCCUGUAUGUAUCUCCAAUAAUGCCCCGACCAAGCUCAGGAUGCUCGACCAAGCUCGGGAUAAUCCGCUGAGUCGACCGCGAGCUAAGGUUUCCUCGACCUCGGGAACUACUCGAUGACGCCCCGACCAAGCUUGGGAUGCCCCGACCAAGCUCGGAACGCCAUUUCGACACCAUUCAACGCCCUUCGACGACAUUCAACGCCUCCUACGACAACGCGCCCCGAUCUGAGUAGGGGCACCCUGCUGAGUUGACCACAAGCCAAAGAAGGCCGCUGAAGUCGACCUCGGAGCAGAGUCGCUUAGCUCGGCUUAAGGCCGUUAGCUUCGACUGCACGAGAGGUACAUCCUACUUGGCACAUACAUCUCCAUAGACAUUUGGCUAUAUUAUAGGACGAUCGACGAUUGGACUACUUCCUUCGCCCAAGCCAAAAAACAGCUCGAACUCGGAAGUUGGGGGAUAGUGUUGGGGAAAAAAUGGACCACCCCACAAAUACAAUUAGAGCACCCUAAUCCGACGACAGGCGUGACCCCGGCAAGCAUGAUCUCGGCAUGCACGACCUCAGCAGGCAUGACCUCAGAAAGCCGAGCUCAGAAAAGCGACCUCAUAAGGCCGAGCGCGGAACGCCCACAUAAAGAAGGGAGCACCAAAUCCUUCAUAUUCGGGAUCAAAUCCCGCAGUCUCUGCCACCACAGCUGUCAAAAUUUGAAUUCCUACUAUUUCAACCGAUUGCCAGCUAAUUUGAACGCCCGUGCCAUCUAAUGUAACCUAUUUAAUCCGAGAUAUGCGCAAUCACAAUCAAGGAUGAGUAACUGCCACACCCCCUCCUAUAAAGAGGGGGGAACGCUGGCGAGGCAGGGGGCUUCCUCCUCUUUCCUCCAAAAAGAGGGACUUUCUCCAUUACCUCCCCGGCCAUUACUUUUCUCUCUUACCUCUCUCCAUUACUUCUCUCUAUUAAAAACCUCCCUCUGACUUAAGCAUCGGAGGGCCGGCGCCGGAACCCCGGCCACAGGCUUCUUGCAGGUCCGCCGGAGACAGUCGUCCGCCGCCGCACCACCAGCCGGAGCUUCUCCUCGGUUUGCGGUCACCUCCGGGUCCAAUUUCCAGCAACAAGCCUCAACUUCUUUUGAUGUUUGAUAUGUAGUAGGCCUGGCCAAACAGCUUUAUCAUUUGCAUUGAUUAUUGAUUUGAACUCUGAGGAUGAACCAGAUGCUGAUGGUGAAAGAAAAGGAUACUGCAGGGAUCCAGAAAAGGAAAAUAAUCUGCUUUUCUGCUGUCCCCAAAGCUUACCCAAUUAAUUCCGAACCUUUGGCAAAUUCAAGAAGGCACUGUGCAGACUCUGUAGGAAGCUCUUUCAUGAUCCUGAAUUUGUUCGUAAAUAUCAGCUUAAACGCCCCAACCUUGUGAUGGAGCUGACCUCGAUGAUUUAUGAGGAUGUGCAUUUGCAUUUUAAAAACUAUAUAAAGAAAGGUGCAGCAUGUGGAGGAAUGAAAUUGCGUGGUUAUGUUUGCCAUGGCCAUGAUUCAACAUCAGUUGCAGUUAUGACACAGGUGAUCGCUGUUCACAAUAACAGAAAGAUUUACUUUAUCUUUAGAAUGUCUCUCCUCUAGAAGAGGGAUAUAAAUAAAUAAAUAAAUAAAUAGAGAUAAUCAUUCGAACUUAUUUGCUUACAAGUUGAAUACUGACAUUUUUCAUGAUAUGUUAAUGCUGAAGUUAUCUUUUUUACCUCGAAACUGCUAAAUGUUAUGCGGGAUGGUGCUGCCGUUACUUGGUCUUCUUAUUGCUGGAGCAUCCUUAGUGGCGGUUGGUACAACAGGAAUUGCUACUGAUGAGCCUGUCAGUUCCAUCAUAGCUGGUAGUUUACCUGGAAUGGGAUGAUGUCCUUGUAUCUUGAUAUUUACUUUCUUAUCCAAAUUACUUAAUUUUACAUGCUUCCAAUCAGGGAAAAAAUUCCUAUAAAAAUUAUCAAUUUGGCUAGAAAAUAUAGAAUUUAGGAAGCAAUUACCUGCAAAAUAAUAAGUACUUAAUGAGUUCUUAAGCCUGAUUAUCCUGAAGAAUCAUAAGCAUAUGCAAUUCAAUGAUGAAAAGGCUUGAACUUCGAAAUAAAAUUUGAAAUUAACCUUGUA
Phoenix dactylifera (date palm) is the source of this 4792-nucleotide non-coding RNA. The record is from RefSeq and is a predicted model, not a curated record. NCBI's taxonomy places the organism in Eukaryota, Viridiplantae, Streptophyta, Magnoliopsida, Arecales, Arecaceae.